CCUACGGGGGGCAGCAGUGAGGAAUAUUGGUCAAUGGACGAGAGUCUGAACCAGCCAAGUAGCGUGAAGGAUGACUGCCCUAUGGGUUGUAAACUUCUUUUAUAUGGGAAUAAAAUGUUCCACGUGUGGGAUUUUGUAUGUACCAUAUGAAUAAGGAUCGGCUAACUCCGUGCCAGCAGCCGCGGUAAUACGGAGGAUCCGAGCGUUAUCCGGAUUUAUUGGGUUUAAAGGGAGCGUAGGUGGAUUGUUAAGUCAGUUGUGAAAGUUUGCGGCUCAAACGUAACAUUGCAGUUGAAACUGGCAGUCUUGAGUGCAGUAGAGGUGGGCGGAAUUCGUGGUGUAGCGGUGAAAUGCUUAGAUAUCACGAAGAACUCCGAUUGCGAAGGCAGUUCACUGGACUGCAACUGACACUGAGGCUCGAAAGUGUGGGUAUCAAACAGGAUUAGAUACCCGGGUAGUC
Molecule: ribosomal RNA, 460 nt
Filed under: uncultured bacterium
Lineage: Bacteria
Description: partial 16S ribosomal RNA
Rfam family: Bacterial small subunit ribosomal RNA
Source: RNAcentral